Molecule: long non-coding RNA, 301 nt
Organism: Gadus macrocephalus (Pacific cod)
Lineage: Eukaryota; Metazoa; Chordata; Actinopteri; Gadiformes; Gadidae
Exons: 2
Source: RefSeq, a predicted model, not a curated record
GGGCGCGUUCACCUUGUCGCUUCAUAUUAACGACCAAUCAUUUGGUUGUAGUCAGAGCUUUGAGCUUUGAUAAGCGCAUUAACUUGCCCAGAGUGAGUUAACUGUAUAAAAGGGUCUGUAAAGGUUUCCAGUCUACACAACAGUGUGUAGACUGUAGGGCUUAGACUGGCAACUAUAGCAUUUCUUUUUUUGUUGUAAAUAAACGGGGGAACAAGGCGUAUCUCCGCCCGUUGGGACUGUGGUUUGAGUCCUGGUUUCUGGCCCAGCAACUGAUCCAUCUCCCCUCAGAGUCUGCGAGGUC